CAGGGAUUUCCGAAUGAGGAAACUCACAUGGGUAACCCCAUGUAUCAUGCACUGAAUACAUAGGUGUAUGAGGGUAAACCCGGGGAACUGAAGCAUCUAAGUACCCGGAGGAAGAGAAAGAAAAAUCGAUUUCCUAAGUAGCGGCGAGCGAACGGGAAAGAGCCCAAACCAGAAACUUGUUUCUGGGGUUGUGGAUAGAUCAU
This 203-nucleotide ribosomal RNA is filed under the name Clostridium botulinum. Its description in RNAcentral is "partial 23S ribosomal RNA". It matches the Rfam family "Bacterial large subunit ribosomal RNA", at positions 105 to 312 of the family's 2925-position model. The record is from RNAcentral. Lineage: Bacteria; Bacillati; Bacillota; Clostridia; Eubacteriales; Clostridiaceae.